UGCAGUCGAGCGGACAGAUGGGAGCUUGCUCCCUGAUGUUAGCGGCGGACGGGUGAGUAACACGUGGGUAACCUGCCUGUAAGACUGGGAUAACUCCGGGAAACCGGGGCUAAUACCGGAUGGUUGUUUGAACCGCAUGGUUCAGACAUAAAAGGUGGCUUCGGCUACCACUUACAGAUGGACCCGCGGCGCAUUAGCUAGUUGGUGAGGUAACGGCUCACCAAGGCGACGAUGCGUAGCCGACCUGAGAGGGUGAUCGGCCACACUGGGACUGAGACACGGCCCAGACUCCUACGGGAGGCAGCAGUAGGGAAUCUUCCGCAAUGGACGAAAGUCUGACGGAGCAACGCCGCGUGAGUGAUGAAGGUUUUCGGAUCGUAAAGCUCUGUUGUUAGGGAAGAACAAGUGCCGUUCAAAUAGGGCGGCACCUUGACGGUACCUAACCAGAAAGCCACGGCUAACUACGUGCCAGCAGCCGCGGUAAUACGUAGGUGGCAAGCGUUGUCCGGAAUUAUUGGGCGUAAAGGGCUCGCAGGCGGUUUCUUAAGUCUGAUGUGAAAGCCCCCGGCUCAACCGGGGAGGGUCAUUGGAAACUGGGGAACUUGAGUGCAGAAGAGGAGAGUGGAAUUCCACGUGUAGCGGUGAAAUGCGUAGAGAUGUGGAGGAACACCAGUGGCGAAGGCGACUCUCUGGUCUGUAACUGACGCUGAGGAGCGAAAGCGUGGGGAGCGAACAGGAUUAGAUACCCUGGUAGUCCACGCCGUAAACGAUGAGUGCUAAGUGUUAGGGGGUUUCCGCCCCUUA
This 804-nucleotide ribosomal RNA is filed under the name Bacillus amyloliquefaciens. RNAcentral describes it as "bacterial SSU rRNA". It matches the Rfam family "Bacterial small subunit ribosomal RNA", at positions 56 to 842 of the family's 1533-position model. Lineage: Bacteria; Bacillati; Bacillota; Bacilli; Caryophanales; Bacillaceae. The record is from RNAcentral.